RNAcentral lists this ribosomal RNA (353 nucleotides) under uncultured soil bacterium. RNAcentral's name for it is "bacterial SSU rRNA". It matches the Rfam family "Bacterial small subunit ribosomal RNA", at positions 26 to 406 of the family's 1533-position model. The record is from RNAcentral.
AGAACGAACGCUGGCGGCAUGCCUAAUACAUGCAAGUCGAACGAACUCUUCGGAGUUAGUGGCGCACGGGUGCGUAACGCGUGGGAAUCUGCCCCUUGGUUCGGAAUAACAGUUGGAAACGACUGCUAAUACCGGAUGAUGACGAAAGUCCAAAGAUUUAUCGCCAAGGGAUGAGCCCGCGUAGGAUUAGCUAGUUGGUGAGGUAAAGGCUCACCAAGGCAACGAUCCUUAGCUGGUCUGAGAGGAUGAUCAGUCACACUGGAACUGAGACACGGUCCAGACUCCUACGGGAGGCAGCAGUGGGGAAUAGUUGGACAAUGGGCGAAAGCCUGAUCCAGCCAUGCCGCGUGUGU